UACGUAGGGGGCAAGCGUUGUCCGGAAUCAUUGGGCGUAAAGCGCGUGUAGGCGGCUCGAUAAGUCUGCUGUGAAAGUUCAGGGCUCAACCCUGGAAUGCCGGUGGAAACUGUCGAGCUAGAGUCCGGAAGAGGCGAGUGGAAUUCCUGGUGUAGCGGUGAAAUGCGCAGAUAUCAGGAGGAACACCAAUGGCGAAGGCAGCUCGCUGGGACGGUACUGACGCUGAGACGCGAAAGCGUGGGGAGCAAACAGG
This 253-nucleotide ribosomal RNA is filed under the name uncultured bacterium. Its description in RNAcentral is "partial 16S ribosomal RNA". It matches the Rfam family "Bacterial small subunit ribosomal RNA", at positions 524 to 776 of the family's 1533-position model. The record is from RNAcentral.